GGCUUAUUUUGCCCAGGCGGAGCUCGACCGCCGGUCGAAAUGAUGAUGGUAUUUGUCGAUAGAAACAAAGCGGAAUACGGGAUCGAGCAAUCUGUAGACAAAUACAGAUUGCCCCG
Proteobacteria bacterium SG_bin4 is the source of this 116-nucleotide non-coding RNA. The record is from Rfam. NCBI's taxonomy places the organism in Bacteria, Pseudomonadati, Pseudomonadota.